Molecule: ribosomal RNA, 918 nt
Filed under: uncultured organism
Description: bacterial SSU rRNA
Rfam family: Bacterial small subunit ribosomal RNA
Source: RNAcentral
GCAUAAAGCGUUCGUAGGCGGUCAAUCAAGCCAAUAAGGAAAUCCAUCGGCCUAACCGAUGUAAGCUAAUGGAACUGAGUGACUUGAGUACAGGAGAGGAAAGUGGAAUUCCUAGUGUAGUAGUGAAAUGCGUAGAUAUUAGGAAGAACAUCAGUAGCGAAGGCGACUUUCUGGACUGUAACUGACGCUGAGGAACGAAAGCGUGGGGAGCGAACAGGAUUAGAUACCCUGGUAGUCCACGCCGUAAACGAUGGAUACUUGGUGUUGGCCGUAAAGGUCGGUGCCGGAGCAAAUGUAUUAAGUAUCCCGCCUGGGGAGUACGGUCGCAAGGCUGAAACUCAAAAGAAUUGACGGGGACCCGCACAAGCAGCGGAGCAUGUGGUUUAAUUCGAAGCAACGCGAAGAACCUUACCAAAUCUUGACAUAUCAAAGCUAUCUGAGUAAAAUUGGAGUUCCAUUUGGACUUUGACUACAGGUGGUGCAUGGUUGUCGUCAGCUCGUGUCGUGAGAUGUUGGGUUAAGUCCCGUAACGAGCGCAACCCUUAUUUUUAGUUGCUAACAAGUAAUGUUGAGGACUCUAGAGAGACUGCCGAUGAAAAAAUCGGAGGAAGGUGGGGAUGACGUCAAAUCAUCAUGCCCCUUAUGAUUUGGGCUACACACGUGCUACAAUGGCCGGUACAACGGGUAAGCGAAGGGGUGACCUGGAGCCAAUCCUCAUAAGCCGGUCCCAGUUCGGAUUGCAGAUUGAAACUCAUCUGUAUGAAGUUGGAGUUGCUAGUAAUCGCGGAUCAGAAUGUCGCGGUGAAUGCGUUCCCGGGUCUUGUACACACCGCCCGUCACACCAUGGAAGUUGGAGGCACCCGAAGUCUAGUGUAACUGCCCCGAAGGUGANAAUCGAUAACUAGGGUGAAGUCGUAA